UGUAAUACAAAAAAUUGAUACUCGACUAAAACUCCAGUGAACAUAUAUAUAUCAUCAAUUACAGUAGGUGAUUACCUAUUUCGAUUCCUCUAACCAAACAACCCAUCUCAUUGUAUGCCUUAUAGUCUCCAAAUAAACAUUACUAUUCCAAAAUUACAUAGCAGGGUGAAUGAGAGAGAGAGAGAGAGCUGACACACAUACAAAGGUUGCAGGCAUUGGCAGCCGUUCCAGUAAUUGCGUCCUUGACAUAAAUUAUUUUAGAACUGG
RNAcentral lists this long non-coding RNA (267 nucleotides) under Hordeum vulgare. Its description in RNAcentral is "long non-coding RNA (HVUL_LNC017334)". Lineage: Eukaryota; Viridiplantae; Streptophyta; Magnoliopsida; Poales; Poaceae. The record is from RNAcentral.